CGUGAGUGAAGAAGGCCUUCGGGUUGUAAAGCUCUUUCGGCCGGAACGAAAUCGGGCGCGUGAAUAACGCGUCUGGAUGACGGUACUGGAAGAAGAAGCACCGGCUAACUACGUGCCAGCAGCCGCGGUAAUACGUAGGGUGCGAGCGUUAAUCGGAAUUACUGGGCGUAAAGCGUGCGUAGGCGGUUUUGUAAGUCAGAUGUGAAAUCCCCGGGCUUAACCUGGGAACUGCGUUUGAAACUACGGAGCUAGAGUGUGGCAGAGGGGGGUGGAAUUCCACGUGUAGCAGUGAAAUGCGUAGAUAUGUGGAGGAACACCGAUGGCGAAGGCAACCCCCUGGGCCAACACUGACGCUGAGGCACGAAAGCGUGGGGAGCAAACAGGAUUAGAUACCCUGGUAGUCCACGCCCUAAACGAUGUCAACUAGUUGUCGGAGGGGGUGACCUCUUUG
This 451-nucleotide ribosomal RNA is filed under the name uncultured bacterium. RNAcentral's name for it is "bacterial SSU rRNA". It matches the Rfam family "Bacterial small subunit ribosomal RNA", at positions 400 to 842 of the family's 1533-position model. The record is from RNAcentral.